GGUUGGCCUCUGGUGGGGUGGACCUCGUCCGUCCGAUCGCGAUCCGAUGACCACGAACGGAGGAAGUGGCUAGGUGGCACUACUGACCUGUGUAGAUGGGCUAUGUAGGGGUGAGAGGGAAAUUGCGCGGCGUGGCAACAAGAUUUAAAACACCGAAACACGUCCGACGGUACACCGAAUACGGUGCCGCUACGGUCGACCGUUCGGGUACCAGACGAACUCCGAUCGCGACGAAACUUGACAGGCGGCCUACCCAUAUAUAAAUAAUACCGCACGACAAAUUCCAGCUCAAUCGGAGAAAGUUUUAUACACGCUUUAAAAACAGGGUUACGACGGUGCCGCGGACGCGUGCGUGUGCGGUCGGGCUCAGAAC
This 373-nucleotide long non-coding RNA is filed under the name Hordeum vulgare. RNAcentral's name for it is "long non-coding RNA (HVUL_LNC010668)". The record is from RNAcentral. Lineage: Eukaryota; Viridiplantae; Streptophyta; Magnoliopsida; Poales; Poaceae.